UCUCAGUCUCAUUCCCCCGUCAGCAAGUAGGGUUCCAUUGCCGGCGAAGUCUUCGCUCCCCGCCAUGGAUGCACCCCUGCGAGAAGGGCGAGCAGCGGCUCGCCCCCAGGGCCGACGGUCGCCGCGCUCCUCGCCAUGGAGGCGCCCCUGCGAAGAGGGCGGGCAAAGGCUCACCCCCAGGGCCGACGAUCGCCGCUGAGAAGUGCCGACGGCUCGCUACUGCCAGGGAAUCGGAUCGGUCCCCCGCUCGGUCGCUGAGUCCUUGGCGGCGGCGGCCCCCGAGACCCCUGCCCUCUGACGGGAAUGGUGGCGCUCUCGGCUCGCAGAUCUGUGAAGUCGGCCCCAUGCCACCAUCGGGUAAGGGCGAGACCCAGAUUGGGGGCCCAAUCCACCGUCGGCCGCCGCCAUGGAACCGACGCGGCCCAUUCCUCCUCCGCCACCACGGCAAGCGGCGGCGGCCGCGGCGGCGCCGGCACCCUCGACGGGUCAAUUGCUGGAUUUGCUGGUUUUGCUAUUGAGUAUAAUUGUCUGAUAUUGCUCUUGUUAGUUUUGUAGCUGAUAAAAAUUCUCGAUAUGAUGUGACCUUGAGGCCUUCAAAUAUUUAUUCUAAAAAUUUAUGCAAUGAUUUAAAUAUCUCAGCUGGUAAUUCUUUGACAAUGUCUACUAUCAAGAUUUGUUCAUUCUUAUUUGAUUUGAAGAAAAAUAAUAUGAAGGAAGAAUUCGUUAUGCCAUGGUGCAAGAAAUUAAUUGUGGGAGCUCAUUUUCACAGCAAGCAAGAGAAAGUUCCGGCCAAGGAAAACUCAACGUGAGGCCCUCAUGCUAUUAUGUUAACUAAUUCAGUUUGUUAAUUGAAAGCAUUAGCAAGCUUGCCGUAUUAUUUUAAUAUAUACUCCUGGACGUGAGUCUCUAUUUGGUAGAGUGCAGCUUGGGUUGUAUUCGAUUUUGUAUAUGUGGUCAAGUCCAAGUCCUUUUCUUUUUUUUGUUUUGCUGCCUGCGUACACUUUCCUCUAUACUGGAGCCCAAUUGGUUUAGUGGGUCAAGUCAGGCCUAUAGUACUAGUUUAUCCAAGCCCAAUUCAAGUCAUGCUCCUGCGUGCGUAUAUUUGGCGACGAGAUGGCCCUGUAUCAAGGGACGGGUUCCUUUUUGUUGACGGUGUCUUCGUCGAGGGUCUGCCUCCGGUCCUGAGCAAGAGCACUGGCGGCCUUCUUUCAUCUACCUGCCAUCCUUCCAGAUUGUGACUGAGUGCGUGAUCAGGAAUUGUUUCCUAGGUGCGCUGCUCCGGAUUUCUUCAGUGGAUCCCCAUCUUCUAAUCGUGUCUUCGUGCACAGGUGGAAGAAAUUAUCUAGGGUUUGGCUUGAUAUCACUGUAAGCUGAACUCCAUCUAUUAUUUCUGCUACUUCGAUUGGAUUUCUUGGAACUUGUAAUCAGCUUGUUACACAUAUCGUCUCUGUUGCCUGAGCUUAAUUAUACGGCUGCUAUUGCUAGUUGAGACAUUAAAAUACAAGAGAAUUCUAUACUAUAUAUCUUUGGAUCUGUGAUUGGUUGUUGGGAUAAACUAAUACCAACUUAAUUGCUGUGACUGCAAAACUGCUGAUUGAUUUCGAUUUACCGUGAAAGAUUGGGCCAAAUAUUCGGGCAUCGUAUUCGUGUCUUUAUCACGAUAAUUAGAGGAAAUGUGGCAUUAUAAAGAUUGCUGGACUUGUAAGAAAUAAGGUAACCCUCCUUUUUCAUCAUUCAACUUUACUUAUCUCCCUAGAUAUUAUCCUUAAUUAACUCAGUGUCAAGAGGUGCUUCUCUUUGUGCUAGGAAAUAUAUACCCCUGGAAGAACAAUGUAAAUACCAUGUUUGUGUAAAUGCUAAUUUUGUUUGCUUCAUACUGCUAGUAACAUAGAAAGUUUGAAGUUGAAAUAAAAAGAAGCAUGGAAUUAAAUCUAUCUUUCCAGUCUUCCAGCUUGUAGGUCUCCUCGGCAUCGGUAGAUUUGUAGCCAUGACUACCUUUUUCCUUGUUCCACGGAUAGUCAACAAUUGUGACCGCUAGUUUGAGCCUAAAAUUAGUAAUAUCCUUCUGCGCAUUACCAAUAGAAAUAGUGGUUAAUUUAUAGUGUAAGAUGGGGCAUAGAUUGGUACAUGUUAUUUGAACAUUGAAAGGUACCUGGGUGAAUAUGGUGGACAAUCUACUUCCUGUCCAAAGCUCCAUGAAUUUCAGUACGAAUAGCCCACAUGACGAACUGUGAGAGUAGUUUUUAUUUUUUGAGUUAGGAAAUAGCAAUGUAACAUCUGAUUUGUUUGCCGAAUUGAAAAUGCGCAGCCUACUCGUUGGUCUGUAUUCUCCUGUUGAUGCAUUCAAUGACAUGCCACUCUUUGAUCUUAACAUCCUGCCACUUUGUUUGUGUCUCCAUCUUUAGUUUCUCUAGAUGCUUGAUACGGUUUUGCAGCCCUUUCACCUAAGAACAUUGAGAUCAUCAACAGUUGAGGGAAAGUGUUUUUAGUUUGCUAGUAAGUAUUGCCAAUAGAUUUUAGAUUUAUUUUUCUAUGUGUAUUUUUCGAACAAACCAGGUACAUACUUUUGUGGAGGUUCCUUUAUUUCAUCGCCUUGGGCUAGAAGGCCGUGUAUAUGAUGAACAUCUUUUAUACUUGAGUCUUUCCAUUUAUGAUGAACUCUUCAGUGUCGAUGUUAAAACUGUCGGCAAUGUCCUUGCAUAGAUCUCUUCUAAUUUAGUCUCUUUCAAAUUUAGUAAAGAACCAAAACCUGCUUUAUUAACGGCAUCCUUUUGAUCUAGGCUGAACCGGUUCAUUAUCUGGACUAGUAAUUUCUGUGAGCAUUACAUGUUCCCUGCAUUACGAAAGGAUAUUGCGUGCGGUCAGAAACACAUGGAUUCAUUUGGUGAAAGUAAUACUCACACGGCCUCUUGAUGUGUUCUUGCUACCUGGCGAGGUGGCUCAAACCUAGUCCUGUUUGUUGUGGUCGGCACUGGUGGAGUCUACGAAUUUUUUGCCAUCAAAGUGUGUCAAUUUAAACUUUGAAAUCAAGAAUUCAUCCAUACUGAUCUUGUAAUGCAACGUAAAAGUGUACUUACAGACGAUGUAGUUGUAUUCUGAUUUGCUGCUUCCAUCGGCACGUUUGAUUGUUGCAUCUUCAAGCAAUGCUUCAAGGUUGACUGUGUCCUC
Molecule: long non-coding RNA, 3168 nt
Organism: Panicum virgatum (switchgrass)
Lineage: Eukaryota; Viridiplantae; Streptophyta; Magnoliopsida; Poales; Poaceae
Exons: 2
Source: RefSeq, a predicted model, not a curated record